UGGCGAACGGGUGAGUAAAGCAUCGGAACGUACCAGUUGUGGGGGAUAACGUAGCGAAAGUUACGCUAAUACCGCAUACGCACUGAGGUGGAAAGCGGGGGACCUUUGGGCCUCGCGCAAUUGGAGCGGCCGAUGUCGGAUUAGCUAGUUGGUGAGGUAAAAGCUCACCAAGGCGACGAUCCGUAGCUGGUCUGAGAGGAUGAUCAGCCACACUGGGACUGAGACACGGCCCAGACUCCUACGGGAGGCAGCAGUGGGGAAUUUUGGACAAUGGGCGAAAGCCUGAUCCAGCCAUGCCGCGUGAGUGAAGAAGGCCUUCGGGUUGUAAAGCUCUUUCAGACGGAAAGAAAUAGCCUCGGUGAAUAUCCGAGGUUGAUGACGGUACCGUAAGAAGAAGCACCGGCUAACUACGUGCCAGCAGCCGCGGUAAUACGUAGGGUGCGAGCGUUAAUCGGAAUUACUGGGCGUAAAGCGUGCGCAGGCGGUUACAUAAGACAGAUGUGAAAUCCCCGGGCUUAACCUGGGAACUGCGUUUGUGACUGUGUGACUAGAGUACGGUAAGGGGGGUGGAAUUCCUGGUUGUAGCAGUGAAAUGCGUAG
Molecule: ribosomal RNA, 600 nt
Filed under: uncultured bacterium
Lineage: Bacteria
Description: bacterial SSU rRNA
Rfam family: Bacterial small subunit ribosomal RNA
Source: RNAcentral